This 107-nucleotide small nuclear RNA is filed under the name Myotis davidii. The record is from RNAcentral. Lineage: Eukaryota; Metazoa; Chordata; Mammalia; Chiroptera; Vespertilionidae.
AUGCUCACUUUGGCAGCAGAUAUACUAAAAUUGAAACAAUACAGAGAAGAUUAGCAUGGCCCUUGCACAAGGAUGACACGCAAAUAUGUGAAGUGUUCCAAAAACAA